RNAcentral lists this ribosomal RNA (456 nucleotides) under Pantoea sp. DJM1F6. RNAcentral's name for it is "bacterial SSU rRNA". It matches the Rfam family "Bacterial small subunit ribosomal RNA", at positions 1031 to 1487 of the family's 1533-position model. The record is from RNAcentral. Lineage: Bacteria; Pseudomonadati; Pseudomonadota; Gammaproteobacteria; Enterobacterales; Erwiniaceae.
GAGACAGGUGCUGCAUGGCUGUCGUCAGCUCGUGUUGUGAAAUGUUGGGUUAAGUCCCGCAACGAGCGCAACCCUUAUCCUUUGUUGCCAGCGAUUCGGUCGGGAACUCAAAGGAGACUGCCGGUGAUAAACCGGAGGAAGGUGGGGAUGACGUCAAGUCAUCAUGGCCCUUACGAGUAGGGCUACACACGUGCUACAAUGGCGCAUACAAAGAGAAGCGACCUCGCGAGAGCAAGCGGACCUCAUAAAGUGCGUCGUAGUCCGGAUCGGAGUCUGCAACUCGACUCCGUGAAGUCGGAAUCGCUAGUAAUCGUGGAUCAGAAUGCCACGGUGAAUACGUUCCCGGGCCUUGUACACACCGCCCGUCACACCAUGGGAGUGGGUUGCAAAAGAAGUAGGUAGCUUAACCUUCGGGAGGGCGCUUACCACUUUGUGAUUCAUGACUGGGGUGAAGUC